UACGUAGGGUGCAAGCGUUGUCCGGAAUUAUUGGGCGUAAAGAGCUCGUAGGCGGUCUGUCGCGUCGAAUGUGAAAACCCGGGGCUCAACCCCGGGCCUGCAUUCGAUACGGGCAGGCUAGAGUUCGGUAGGGGAGUCUGGAAUUCCUGGUGUAGCGGUGAAAUGCGCAGAUAUCAGGAGGAACACCGGUGGCGAAGGCGGGACUCUGGGCCGAUACUGACGCUGAGGAGCGAAAGCGUGGGGAGCAAACAGG
RNAcentral lists this ribosomal RNA (253 nucleotides) under uncultured bacterium. RNAcentral describes it as "partial 16S ribosomal RNA". It matches the Rfam family "Bacterial small subunit ribosomal RNA", at positions 524 to 776 of the family's 1533-position model. The record is from RNAcentral.